RNAcentral lists this ribosomal RNA (484 nucleotides) under uncultured bacterium. RNAcentral describes it as "bacterial SSU rRNA". It matches the Rfam family "Bacterial small subunit ribosomal RNA", at positions 29 to 506 of the family's 1533-position model. The record is from RNAcentral.
AACGAACGCUGGCGGCGUGCCUAACACAUGCAAGUCGAGCGCGAAUAGGGGCAACCCUUAGUAGAGCGGCGCACGGGUGCGUAACACGUGGGUAAUCUGCCCAAAAGUCUGGGAUAACCAAGCCGAAAGGUUGGCUAAAUACCGGUUAAGCCUACGGGGACUUUGGUUCCUGGGGGAAAAGGUGGCCUCUGUACACAAGCUAUCGCUUUUGGGAUGAGCCCGCGGCCCAUCAGCUAGUUGGCGGGGUAAUGGCCCACCAAGGCAACGACGGGUAGCUGGUCUGAGAGGACGAUCAGCCACACUGGAACUGAGACACGGGUCCAGACUCCUACGGGAGGGCAGCAGUGGGGAAUUUUGCGCAAUGGGCGAAAGCCUGACGCAGCAACGCCGCGUGUGUGAUGAAGGUCUUUGGAUUGUAAACCUCUUUCAGCAGGGACGAAGCGUAAGUGACGGUACCUGCAGAAGAAGCGCCGGCCAACUACGU